This is a long non-coding RNA of Lutra lutra (Eurasian river otter), 457 nucleotides long. RefSeq lists it as uncharacterized. The record is from RefSeq and is a predicted model, not a curated record. The transcript has 3 exons. NCBI's taxonomy places the organism in Eukaryota, Metazoa, Chordata, Mammalia, Carnivora, Mustelidae.
GGCACAUGUUCUCAGAAGGAUCUGGAGCCUUGUUCUGGAAACAGAUGAUCCUUCUUGUGGCAAUCGUCAGAAGGUCAACAGGAGCCUAACGCUACCUCAGGAUGCCUAUGAUGCCUACGUCACACUCCUCACCUCAUCUCACCACAUUGGCACUUUGUCAUCUCAAAACAUCACAAGAAGAAGAAGAGGAGGAGGGAGACAGUUGGUUUGGUAUAGACCUGAGAGACAUAAGGAUAAACAUCAUAAUUCCUGAAGCAAAGAUGUUUUGUUCUGGCCUGCUGUGAGGGGUGUUCGAUUCCAGGGCAGCCCAUUUAUGGCUGUUCAGUUUCACUGAGUGUUUUCAGCACUGUAAGCCUAACCUUACCAUGGUCCUAGGAUGAAGUAAGUAUUACUAUUUUCAUUCCUUAGGUGAGGAAACUGACAAAGAGGAAGGUUGUUUUAUAGCUGAGCCUGAGGU